This 159-nucleotide ribosomal RNA is filed under the name uncultured bacterium. RNAcentral describes it as "partial 16S ribosomal RNA". It matches the Rfam family "Bacterial small subunit ribosomal RNA", at positions 355 to 505 of the family's 1533-position model. The record is from RNAcentral.
UGGGGAAUAUUGGACAAUGGGGGCAACCCUGAUCCAGCCAUGCCGCGUGUGUGAAGAAGGCCUUCGGGUUGUAAAGCACUUUCAGUGGUGAGGAAGGGUGUCAACGUUAAUACCUUUAUACAUUGACGUUAGCCACAGAAGAAGCACCGGCUAACUCCG